Molecule: non-coding RNA, 228 nt
Organism: Pelobates cultripes (western spadefoot toad)
Lineage: Eukaryota; Metazoa; Chordata; Amphibia; Anura; Pelobatidae
Source: the annotation of a GenBank genome assembly
AUUAAAUGUAACAAACGUGUCCCCUUCUCCCCUUACCCUUAGUAGAAUAAAGCACACUCACUAAAUAUAGAGAACCAAAUACAUGGAACUAAUCUGCUCCAACAUAGCUCCCUGUGUCUCAAUCUGAAAGCUCUACUUUUUAUUAAAUACAUAAAAAAAUAUAGGGACUACUAUUCCUCAUGUGUAGCAGUCAAAGUGACAAAACCUGGCACAGGGCGGAGCUUAAAG